GGCAUCACCUAUACGAAAAAAAAAAAUUGGAAUGAUACAGAGAAGAUCAGCAUGGGCCCUGUGCAAAGAUGGCACAGAAAUUUGUGAAGUGUUCGGUACUUAC
This 103-nucleotide small nuclear RNA is filed under the name Callithrix jacchus (white-tufted-ear marmoset). The record is from RNAcentral. Lineage: Eukaryota; Metazoa; Chordata; Mammalia; Primates; Cebidae.